GCCGCGAUAGCUCAGUUGGCAGAGCGUCGCCAUGGUAAGGCGAAGGUCACCGGUUCAAACCCGGUUCGCGGCUCCA
RNAcentral lists this transfer RNA (76 nucleotides) under Candidatus Saccharimonadota bacterium. Its description in RNAcentral is "tRNA-Thr". It matches the Rfam family "tRNA". Rfam says of the family: Transfer RNA (tRNA) molecules are approximately 80 nucleotides in length. Lineage: Bacteria; Candidatus Saccharimonadota. The record is from RNAcentral.